UGAGGAAUAUUGGUCAAUGGGCGCAAGCCUGAACCAGCCAUCCCGCGUGCAGGAUGACGGCCCUAUGGGUUGUAAACUGCUUUUAUACACCAAGAAAAAUCCGAACGUGUUCGGACCCGACGGUAGUGUAUGAAUAAGCAUCGGCUAACUCCGUGCCAGCAGCCGCGGUAAUACGGAGGAUGCAAGCGUUAUCCGGAUUCAUUGGGUUUAAAGGGUGCGUAGGCGGCUUUUUAAGUCAGUGGUGAAAUCCUGUCGCUUAACGAUAGAAUUGCCAUUGAUACUGAUAAGCUUGAGUCCAGUUGAGGUAAGCGGAAUGUGUAGUGUAGCGGUGAAAUGCUUAGAUAUUACACAGAACACCGAUUGCGAAGGCAGCUUACUAAACUGGUACUGACGCUGAUGCACGAAAGCGUGGGGAGCGAACA
Molecule: ribosomal RNA, 422 nt
Filed under: uncultured bacterium
Lineage: Bacteria
Description: bacterial SSU rRNA
Rfam family: Bacterial small subunit ribosomal RNA
Source: RNAcentral